UACUGUCUAUGAUGAAUGUUAAAACAAUGGGAAUCUCUCUGAAUAAGAGUGAAAGAGAUAUUUUGUACUGAGACAGUA
Silurus meridionalis is the source of this 78-nucleotide small nucleolar RNA. RefSeq annotates it as small nucleolar RNA SNORD79. The transcript has a single exon. NCBI's taxonomy places the organism in Eukaryota, Metazoa, Chordata, Actinopteri, Siluriformes, Siluridae. The record is from RefSeq and is a predicted model, not a curated record.